UACGGGGGGAGCAAGCGUUGUUCGGAUUUACUGGGCGUAAAGGGCGCGUAGGCGGUCGUGACAAGUCACUUGUGAAAUCUCCGGGCUUAACUCGGAACGGUCAAGUGAUACUGUCGGACUAGAGUACAGAAGGGGCAACUGGAAUUCUCGGUGUAGCGGUGAAAUGCGUAGAUAUCGAGAGGAACACCUGCGGCGAAGGCGGCUCACUGGACCACAACUGACGCUGAUGCGCGAAAGCUAGGGGAGCAAACAG
This 253-nucleotide ribosomal RNA is filed under the name uncultured bacterium. RNAcentral describes it as "partial 16S ribosomal RNA". It matches the Rfam family "Bacterial small subunit ribosomal RNA", at positions 524 to 775 of the family's 1533-position model. The record is from RNAcentral.